GAAAUGCGAUAAGUAGUGUGAAUUGCAGAAUUCAGUGAAUCAUCGAAUCUUUGAACGCACAUUGCGCCCCUCGGUAUUCCGUGGGGCAUGCCUGUUCGAGCAUCAUCUACACCCUCAAGCUCUGCUUGGUGUUGGGCGUCUGUCCCGCCUCCGCGCGCGGACUCGCCCCAAAUGCAUUGGCAGCGGUUCCUUGCCCCCCUCUUUGCGCAGCACAUUGCCAUUCGAGGCGGCGUCGGCCCGCGUCCAACAAGCUCAACCCCCCCGUCUUUGACCUCGGAUCAGGUAGGGAUACCCGCUGAACUUAAGC
RNAcentral lists this unclassified non-coding RNA (307 nucleotides) under plant metagenome. RNAcentral describes it as "partial contains 5.8S ribosomal RNA, internal transcribed spacer 2, and large subunit ribosomal RNA". The stretch from base 1 to 105 matches the Rfam family "5.8S ribosomal RNA", at positions 50 to 154 of the family's 154-position model. The record is from RNAcentral.